This is a long non-coding RNA of Hydra vulgaris (swiftwater hydra), 945 nucleotides long. RefSeq lists it as uncharacterized. The record is from RefSeq and is a predicted model, not a curated record. Lineage: Eukaryota; Metazoa; Cnidaria; Hydrozoa; Anthoathecata; Hydridae.
GAAAUCGACAACUCAUUGCAUAAUGAAGUUGAGAGUUGCAUUGAUUUCAAAAACAUUAAAAUUGAGAAUUAUAGUGACUUUUAUUUUGUGUCUGAUCAUAAGAUACUUCAAAAACUGAGAGUUCUAAUCUCUGAGGUUCCUAUGAAUGACAAUAAUAAAGAUCUUAAUGAUGAAUUAUUUGUUACAGAAAUUGCCAAAUGGAUUUUAAAACACAGAAUAACUAGAAAUGCAAGUGAUGAACUGUUAUUUUUAAUUUUACACCAGUAUGGUUAUCAUGUUGAUUUACCAAAAAUACACAAGGAUAAUUUUAAAUACUCCUAAGAAUGUUCCAAGUGAGUUAAAAUGUGGGGGUGAAUAUGUUUUAGCAGUCAAUUAGUAUUAUAGAUUUGAGUCAAAUACAAUUUUUCUAGUUGUCAAUGUAGAUGGCCUUCCCUUUUUCAAGUCAUCAAACACACAGGCCUAUAUUAUUUAGGUUUGACAAAGGGACACCAUUUAUUGUCUCAUUAUUUGUUGGUGAUAACAAGCUAAAUAAUCGUGAUAAUUUUUAUAUGAUUUUUUGCAUGAGUAUGAGUUAUAAUUGGCAAUUGGUUUCAGUAUAAUUCAUAUAACUUUAAUUACAACUUGAGAAAAAUUGUUGCAAAUGUGCCAAUAAAACAUCAGGAAGUAUAAGCAUAACCAUUUUCAAAAGAUUAAGUCCCUUGAAGAAUUUUAUGAACUUGAAACCAGAUUAAAAGUCAGCCGGGAGUACUGUAAAUUGAAUUAUGAAGCAUCAUGUUAUGGCCAAGUUAAAUAUGAAAGGCAAAAUUCGUGGUGAUAUAAAGAAGGUAUCAUUCGAAGAUAAAAAGUUGUGUAAAGCAAUAAUUGAAGUCAUCCAGCUAAUACACGAGAGUUCGACGGAAGCAAACAAAAGAUCAAAUAGGCAUUUUAAAGUUCUCUCCAUUGAAC